Molecule: ribosomal RNA, 255 nt
Filed under: uncultured bacterium
Lineage: Bacteria
Description: partial 16S ribosomal RNA
Rfam family: Bacterial small subunit ribosomal RNA
Source: RNAcentral
UACAGAGGUCUCAAGCGUUGUUCGGAUUCAUUGGGCGUAAAGGGUGCGUAGGUGGCGCCAUAAGUCAGGUGUGAAAUCUCGGGGCUCAACCCCGAAACUGCAUUUGAUACUGUGGUGCUCGAGUACUGGAGAGGAGAUUGGAAUUUACGGUGUAGCAGUGAAAUGCGUAGAUAUCGUAAGGAAGACCAGUGGCGAAGGCGAAUCUCUGGACAGUUACUGACACUGAGGCACGAAGGCCAGGGGAGCAAAACGGGG